This 1141-nucleotide long non-coding RNA is filed under the name Mytilus galloprovincialis (Mediterranean mussel). The record is from RNAcentral. Lineage: Eukaryota; Metazoa; Mollusca; Bivalvia; Mytilida; Mytilidae.
CCGAAAUAUUUAUAAACAAGAGGCUCUCAAGAGCCUGAAUCGCUCACCUGGUAAACAAUGCCUUAUUGAACAUAUUGAACCAUGCCAGGCAAACAUGUACAGCUAAAAAUUCUUCAAUAUUACAAAUAUAUAUGACUUACUGUUUAUAAAUAAAGAAAAUGAGACCAAAACACAAACACUUAAAACUUAGCAAUGGACUGUGAAAAUGAGGUCAAGUUCAAAUAAAACCUGCGUAACCGACAUAUAGAUCAUAAAAUAUUUUCAUACACCAAAUAUAGUUGACCUAAUGCAUAAAGUAUUAAAAAAAUAGACCAAAACUAAAAAAGUUAACUUUGACCACUGAAUUAUGAAAAUGAGGUCAAGGUUAGAUGACACCUGUCAGCUAGACAUGUACACCUUACAAUCAUUCUAUACACCAAUUUAGUAGACCUAUUGCAUAUAGUAUAAGAAAAACAGACCAAAACACAAAAACUUACCCCUAUGUUCUAUUUAAAGUAAGGGCGGCCAUGUUUUUUGACGGAUCAAAAAAAAUCGAAGCACACACUUUGUGCAGGAUAAUCUAAGGAACUAUCAUGCUAAGUUUCAUCCAAAUCCAUUCAGUAGUUUCAGAGGAGAAGAUUUUUUAAAAUUAGCAAAUAUGAUGAACAAAUUGUGAAAAAUUGUCAUUAAAGGACAUUUACCCCUUAAGGGGUCAAUUGACAAUUUUUGUCAUAUUAACCUAUUUGUAGAUCUUACUUUGCUGAUCAUUUUUGCUGUUUACAGUUUAUCUUCAUCUAUAAUAAUAUUCAAGAUAAUGACCAAAAACUGCAAAAUUUCCUUAAAAUUACCAAUUAAGUGGCAGCAACCCAACAAUGGUUUGUUUGAUUCAUCUGAAAAUUUCUGGGCUGAUAGAUCUUGACCUAAUGAACAUUUUUACCCCAGUCAGAUUUGCUCUAAAUGCUUCCGUUUUUGAGAUAUAAGCCAAAAACUGCAUUUGACCCCUAUGUUCUAUUUUAAGUAACGGCGGCCAUGUUUUUUGACGGAUCAAAAAUCGAAGCACACACUUUGUGCAGGAUAAUCUAAGGAACAAUCAUUUUAAGUUUCAUUCAAAUCCAUUCAGUAGUUUCAGAGGAGAAGAUGUUUAAAAAAAUUGUUAACGACG